This 1616-nucleotide ribosomal RNA is filed under the name Pyrenula anomala. RNAcentral's name for it is "LSU rRNA". It matches the Rfam family "Eukaryotic large subunit ribosomal RNA", at positions 40 to 1444 of the family's 3401-position model. Lineage: Eukaryota; Fungi; Ascomycota; Eurotiomycetes; Pyrenulales; Pyrenulaceae. The record is from RNAcentral.
AUAUCAAUAAGCGGAGGAAAAGAAACCAACAGGGAUUGCCUUAGUAACGGCGAGUGAAGCGGCAACAGCUCAAAUUUGAAAUCUGGUCCCUCUCGGGUCCCGAGUUGUAAUUUGUAGAGGAUGCUUCGGAUCAGGCUGCGGUUUAAGUCCGUUGGAACAGGGCGUCGUAGAGGGUGAGAACCCCGUCUCUGACCGUGAGCCGCGUCCAUGUGAAGCUCCUUCGACGAGUCGCGUUGUUUGGGAAUGCAGCGCAAAAUGGGUGGUAAAUUUCAUCUAAAGCUAAAUAUUGGCCAGAGACCGAUAGCGCACAAGUAGAGUGAUCGAAAGAUGAAAAGCACUUUGAAAAGAGAGUUAAACAGCAUGUGAAAUUGUUGAAAGGGAAGCGCUUGCCGCCAGACUUGUGGGCAGUCAUUCAGCCGUGAUUCUUCACGGUGCACUUGAUCGUCUCCAGGCCAGCAUCGGUUUGGACAGCCAGUUAAAGGCUCUGGGAAUGUAUCGACCCUCCGGGGUCGACUUAUAGCCCAGGGUGCCAUGUGGCUCGUCUAGACCGAGGAACGCGCUCUGCACGGAUGCUGGCGUAAUGGCUGUAAGCGACCCGUCUUGAAACACGGACCAAGGAGUCUAACAUCUAUGCGAGUGUUAGGGUGUCAAACCCUUGCGCGCAAUGAAAGUGAACGGAGGUAGGAGCCCCUUGGGCGCACUAUCGACCGAUCCUGAUGUUCUCGGAUGGAUUUGAGUAAGAGCAUAGCUGUUGGGACCCGAAAGAUGGUGAACUAUGCGUGUAUAGGGUGAAGCCAGAGGAAACUCUGGUGGAGGCUCGCAGCGGUUCUGACGUGCAAAUCGAUCGUCAAAUACGCGUAUAGGGGCGAAAGANUANUNGANCCNUNUGGUAGNUGGUNCCUGCNGAAGUUNCCCNCNGGANNGCAGUNANGUUUUCAGUUUUAUGAGGUAAAGCGAAUGAUUAGAGGCCUUGGGGUUGAAACAACCUUAACCUAUUCUCAAACUUUAAAUAUGUAAGAAGCCCUUGUUACUUAAUUGAACGUGGGCAUUUGAAUGUAUCGUUACUAGUGGGCCAUUUUUGGUAAGCAGAACUGGCGAUGCGGGAUGAACCGAACGUGAGGUUAAGGUGCCAGAAUACACGCUCAUCAGAUACCACCAUCUCUGUGGUAUCCAACCCCCCUCGGAGGAAUAGACUCUCCGGGGAGACAGCCUCUUUUUUCUCGGUUCGAGGAAGAGGCGAGCCCUUUGUUAUGAGGGGAUGGUUAUAAAAGUAGCCGGCCCUCAACCGUGCAUCACGGUCCACAGAUCAAGCAAAGGCUGGCGGUGAGCUCGUCACCGCUCGAGAUAUGAUCGGCCCCGAAACGUUGCAGUUUCGAGGACCAGCGCAAAAGGUGUUAGUUCAUCCAGACAGCCGGACGGUGGCCAUGGAAGUCGGAAUCCGCUUAGGAGUGUGUAACAACUCACCGGCCGAAUGAACUAGCCCUGAAAAUGGAUGGCGCUUAAGCGUGUUACCUAUACCUCGCCGUUAAAGUUUUAAGGAUGCUUUAACGAGUAGGCAGGCGUGGAGGUUUGUGACGAAGCCUUGGGGGUGACCCCGGGUCGAACAACCUCUAGUG